GCUCUCGUAGCUCAGCAGGUAGAGCACCAGACUUUUAAUCUGGGUGUCUCGGGUUCGAUUCCCGACGGGGGCACCA
RNAcentral lists this transfer RNA (76 nucleotides) under bacterium. Its description in RNAcentral is "tRNA-Lys". It matches the Rfam family "tRNA". Rfam says of the family: Transfer RNA (tRNA) molecules are approximately 80 nucleotides in length. Their secondary structure includes four short double-helical elements and three loops (D, anti-codon, and T loops). The record is from RNAcentral.